CAUGCAAGUCGAACGAGAAUCUACUGAAGGAGGAUUCGUCCAACGGAAGUAGAGGAAAGUGGCGGACGGGUGAGUAACGCGUGAGGAACCUGCCUUGAAGAGGGGGACAACAGUUGGAAACGACUGCUAAUACCGCAUGAUGCAUAGGGGUCGCAUGAUCUUUAUGCCAAAGAUUUAUCGCUUCAAGAUGGCCUCGCGUCUGAUUAGCUGGUUGGCGGGGUAACGGCCCACCAAGGCGACGAUCAGUAGCCGGACUGAGAGGUUGAACGGCCACAUUGGGACUGAGAUACGGCCCAGACUCCUACGGGAGGCAGCAGUGGGGAAUAUUGGGCAAUGGGCGCAAGCCUGACCCAGCAACGCCGCGUGAAGGAAGAAGGCUUUCGGGUUGUAAACUUCUUUUAAGAGGGAAGAGCAGAAGACGGUACCUCUAGAAUAAGCCACGGCUAACUACGUGCCAGCAGCCGCGGUAAUACGUAGGUGGCAAGCGUUGUCCGGAUUUACUGGGUGUAAAGGGCGUGCAGCCGGGUCUGCAAGUCAGAUGUGAAAUCCAUGGGCUCAACCCAUGAACUGCAUUUGAAACUGUAGAUCUUGAGUGUCGGAGGGGCAAUCGGAAUUCCUAGUGUAGCGGUGAAAUGCGUAGAUAUUAGGAGGAACACCAGUGGCGAAGGCGGAUUGCUGGACGAUAACUGACGGUGAGGCGCGAAAGUGUGGGGAGCAAACAGGAUUAGAUACCCUGGUAGUCCACACUGUAAACGAUGAAUACUAGGUGUGCGGGGACUGACCCCCUGCGUGCCGCAGUAAACACAAUAAGUAUUCCACCUGGGGAGUACGAUCGCAAGGUUGAAACUCAAAGGAAUUGACGGGGG
This 866-nucleotide ribosomal RNA is filed under the name uncultured bacterium. RNAcentral's name for it is "bacterial SSU rRNA". It matches the Rfam family "Bacterial small subunit ribosomal RNA", at positions 54 to 919 of the family's 1533-position model. The record is from RNAcentral.